UCCUUAGUACGAGAGGACCGGGAUGGACAUACCUCUGGUGUACCAGUUGUCGUGCCAACGGCAUAGCUGGGUAGCUAUGUGUGGACGGGAUAAGUGCUGAAAGCAUCUAAGCAUGAAGCCCCCCUCAAGAUGAGAUUUCCCAACUUCGGUUAUAAGAUCCCUCAAAGAUGAUGAGGUUAAUAGGUUCGAGGUGGAAGCAUGGUGACAUGUGGAGCUGACGAAUACUAA
RNAcentral lists this ribosomal RNA (228 nucleotides) under Staphylococcus aureus. RNAcentral's name for it is "partial 23S ribosomal RNA". It matches the Rfam family "Bacterial large subunit ribosomal RNA", at positions 2675 to 2904 of the family's 2925-position model. The record is from RNAcentral. Lineage: Bacteria; Bacillati; Bacillota; Bacilli; Caryophanales; Staphylococcaceae.